This 559-nucleotide ribosomal RNA is filed under the name Eiconaxius indicus. Its description in RNAcentral is "partial large subunit ribosomal RNA". It matches the Rfam family "Bacterial large subunit ribosomal RNA", at positions 1809 to 2642 of the family's 2925-position model. Lineage: Eukaryota; Metazoa; Arthropoda; Malacostraca; Decapoda; Axiidae. The record is from RNAcentral.
AAAAACAUGUCUGCUUGAAAAUAAGACCAGUCUGGCCUGCCCACUGAGAUAUUAAAGGGCCGCGGUAAUUUGACUGUGCGAAGGUAGCAUAAUCACUAGUCUUUUAAUUGAAGACUUGUAUGAACGGUUCGACAAAGAACUAACUCUCUUAGUAGCUUACAUUGAAGUUGACUUUUAAGUGAAGAGGCUUAAAUAAUUCUUAAAGACGAUAAGACCCUAUAAAACUUUACAUAUGCUUAAUUAAAAUUUUAAUUAUUUGUAAAAAGUUUUUUUUAAAAUUAUGUUUCAUUGGGGAGAUGAAAGUAUAAAUUUAACUGCUUAAUCUUUAAUACAAAAAUCUUUGAGUUUUAAUUGAUCCUUAGUUAGAGAUAAAAGUUAAGUUACUUUAGGGAUAACAGCGUUAUUCUUUUUGAGAGUCCCUAUCGACAAAAGAGUUUGCGACCUCGAUGUUGAAUUAAAAUUUCUUUAUAGUGCAGCCGCUAUAGGAGUAAGUCUGUUCGACUUUUAAAAUUUUACAUGAUUUGAGUUCAAACCGGUGCAAGCCAGGUUGGUUUCUAUC